This 73-nucleotide transfer RNA is filed under the name freshwater metagenome. Its description in RNAcentral is "tRNA-Asp". The record is from RNAcentral.
UGGUAGGUAGGCAGUGGAGCCGAUAUCUUGUCACGGUGUCCAAUGCAACAAGUUCUGAGUCUUCCCCGUCAAC